This is a small nuclear RNA of Camelus dromedarius (Arabian camel), 131 nucleotides long. The record is from Ensembl. Lineage: Eukaryota; Metazoa; Chordata; Mammalia; Artiodactyla; Camelidae.
GUGUUGUAUGAAAGGAGAGAAGGCUAGCACUCCCCCACCUCCCACAAGGACGGAGGAGGCCCUCGGGCCUGACAACACGCAUACAGUUAAGGCAUUGCCACCCACUUCGUGGUAUCUAACCAUCGUUUUUA